GCCAAGCCACAGAGGCCAAGAGUAAUAGAGCGAGUAAAAGGCACUAAAGUCAAGUCAGCAAGAACACAAACUGACUUUCAUGCUACACCACUUACGAAAACGGACUCUAAAGCACAGCAUCCCAUCACCACACUACCUCAUGCUCAUCAGCAGUGUGUGCUCAGCCCAAGCAGAGAGAUGCCUACCGUUUCAGGGACCCUGGACGGUCAUCUAAUCCCCAUGGCAAUCCUUCUCGGUAAGAAACAGCGAACGUGGAUGUAGGGAAGGGGGUGGUCCAUUGCUUGUGACGAGUAGCAGAAGUUAUCACAGUCACCUCCUGUCUUAUGUCUGGAGAGAGCCUCAGAAUGUAGGCUAUGCAGGGCAAAGUGAUCUCUUAAACUGGGAGUUUACAAGAAAUAGUCUCUGGGUGUGUCGCUGUAGAUGACGAGAGUGACAUAUAAUAGUUCAAGAAGUCAGGUUUGUUCUAGUAUCGUCAUGCCUGAGGAUAGAUCCUGGAAAGCACUGUUAUGUAGUACUGAACUAGGUUGUGGUAAGUAAAAGCUAGGUGGUCAUGUGUUCUAGGAGAAUAGUAGGUUAUUUCCUUGUAUGAGAUCUCUGUGAGUCACAUUAAAAGCUGGACAGAUCU
This 625-nucleotide long non-coding RNA is filed under the name Rattus norvegicus (Norway rat). RNAcentral describes it as "long non-coding RNA NONRATT024364". The record is from RNAcentral. Lineage: Eukaryota; Metazoa; Chordata; Mammalia; Rodentia; Muridae.